This 486-nucleotide ribosomal RNA is filed under the name uncultured bacterium. RNAcentral's name for it is "partial 16S ribosomal RNA". It matches the Rfam family "Bacterial small subunit ribosomal RNA", at positions 30 to 507 of the family's 1533-position model. The record is from RNAcentral.
AUUGAACGCUGGCGGCAUGCCUUACACAUGUAAGUCGAACGGCAGCACGGGUGCUUGCACCUGGUGGCGAGUGGCGAACGGGUGAGUAAUACAUCGGAACAUGUCCUGUAGUGGGGGAUAGCCCGGCGAAAGCCGGAUUAAUACCGCAUACGAUCCACGGAUGAAAGCGGGGGACCUUCGGGCCUCGCGCUAUAGGGUUGGCCGAUGGCUGAUUAGCUAGUUGGUGGGGUAAAGGCCUACCAAGGCGACGAUCAGUAGCUGGUCUGAGAGGACGACCAGCCACACUGGGACUGAGACACGGCCCAGACUCCUACGGGAGGCAGCAGUGGGGAAUUUUGGACAAUGGGCGAAAGCCUGAUCCAGCAAUGCCGCGUGUGUGAAGAAGGCCUUCGGGUUGUAAAGCACUUUUGUCCGGAAAGAAAUCCUUGACUCUAAUACAGUCGGGGGAUGACGGUACCGGAAGAAUAAGCACCGGCUAACUACGUG